RNAcentral lists this ribosomal RNA (510 nucleotides) under Appias lyncida. RNAcentral describes it as "partial 16S ribosomal RNA". The stretch from base 387 to 510 matches the Rfam family "Bacterial large subunit ribosomal RNA", at positions 2473 to 2597 of the family's 2925-position model. Lineage: Eukaryota; Metazoa; Arthropoda; Insecta; Lepidoptera; Pieridae. The record is from RNAcentral.
GUCUUUUUGAAAAUAAUUUAAAGUCUAAUCUGCCCACUGAAUUUAUUUAAAGGGCUGCAGUAUAUUGACUGUACAAAGGUAGCAUAAUCAUUAGUCUUUUAAUUGGAGACUUGUAUGAAAGAUUUGAUGAGAUAUAAACUGUCUCUUUAUUAAAAAUAGAAUUUAAUUUUUUAGUUAAAAAGCUAAAAUUUAUAUAAAAGACGAGAAGACCCUAUAGAUCUUUAUAUUUAAUUUUUUAUUUUUAUUAUAUAAAAUUUAAAAUUAAUAUAAAAUUAAAUAUUUUAUUGGGGUGAUAGAAAAAUUUAAUAAACUUUUUUUAAAAAUUAAACAUUAAUUUAUGAAUUUUUGAUCCAUAAUUUAUGAUUACAAGAUUAAGUUACCUUAGGGAUAACAGCGUAAUUUUUUUUUUUAGUUCAUAUAAGAAAAAGAGUUUGCGACCUCGAUGUUGGAUUAAGAUAAAAUUUAAAUGCAAAAGUUUAAAAUUUUGAUCUGUUCGAUCAUUAAAAUCUU